GACGAACGCUGGCGGCGUGCCUAACACAUGCAAGUCGAGCGAUGAAGCCCUUCGGGGUGGAUUAGCGGCGGACGGGUGAGUAACACGUGGGUAACCUGCCUCAAAGAGGGGGAUAGCCUCCCGAAAGGGAGAUUAAUACCGCAUAAUAUCAUGUUUUCGCAUGAAGAUAUGAUUAAAGGAGCAAUCCGCUUUGAGAUGGACCCGCGGCGCAUUAGCUAGUUGGUGAGGUAACGGCUCACCAAGGCCACGAUGCGUAGCCGACCUGAGAGGGUGAUCGGCCACAUUGGAACUGAGACACGGUCCAGACUCCUACGGGAGGCAGCAGUGGGGAAUAUUGCACAAUGGGCGAAAGCCUGAUGCAGCAACGCCGCGUGAGUGAUGACGGCCUUCGGGUUGUAAAACUCUGUCUUUGGGGACGAUAAUGACGGUACCCAAGGAGGAAGCCACGGCUAACUACGUGCCAGCAGCCGCAGUAA
RNAcentral lists this ribosomal RNA (476 nucleotides) under uncultured bacterium. RNAcentral describes it as "partial 16S ribosomal RNA". It matches the Rfam family "Bacterial small subunit ribosomal RNA", at positions 28 to 523 of the family's 1533-position model. The record is from RNAcentral.